RNAcentral lists this ribosomal RNA (208 nucleotides) under uncultured bacterium. Its description in RNAcentral is "partial 16S ribosomal RNA". It matches the Rfam family "Bacterial small subunit ribosomal RNA", at positions 568 to 775 of the family's 1533-position model. The record is from RNAcentral.
CGCGUAGGUGGUUGUGUAAGUCGGAUGUGAAAGCCCAGGGCUUAACCUUGGAAUUGCAUCCGAUACUGCAUGACUAGAGUAUGGUAGAGGGAAGUGGAAUUUCCGGUGUAGCGGUGAAAUGCGUAGAUAUCGGAAGGAACACCAGUGGCGAAGGCGACUUCCUGGGCCAAUACUGACACUGAGGUGCGAAAGCGUGGGGAGCAAACGA